Molecule: non-coding RNA, 30 nt
Filed under: Mus musculus (house mouse)
Lineage: Eukaryota; Metazoa; Chordata; Mammalia; Rodentia; Muridae
Source: RNAcentral
UCGAGCAAGCUUUAAGGUUCGGCCAGGUUC